CGACCGUUUGGGGGGAAAACAAGCAUGGAGAUGUAGGGAAAAGGAGUCGCUCAGAGGAGCGGGCAUCUGAGAUUGGCAUUCAGAGGAAUGGCCAACCCUUCGCGCAAGAGGCAUCACGAGAACAGGCAAGCUUGGAAGAAUGUGGAGCGCACAAAGGUUGGGAUGGCUGAGUUUGAGCUACGGCUCAACGUUGACAACUAUACUUGAUGGUGCUCAAGACAAGCGAGGCGCUUGGAAAAGGAUGAGACCAUCUAAGGUGGAAUGAGUUACUCAAUGACCAAAAGAGUUCUGCAAAGCUCACAGAGGUGAGGGGAAUUGCUAACUCGAAGAAUUUGGUACUCAUGCAUGGGCUUGUAUGCGGACGAUGGAAUGUUCGUGGCCAUCCCAAGGCGACCGAAACUCGGCGCCAUGGAGCAUUGAAACUUUCUCUUCGGCAUGUGAAGGAUACGUCCGUAGGAGGUUGAAGUGUGCAACGAGUUCAGCAUGUUGCUAGGCCUUGAGGGGUGCAGCGGGGGCUGUAUUGACGGGGAGUCGCAAUCUAGCAAGUGCGUUUGCAGGAGGCAGAACAAUGCAUAGUUUGUUCAGCAGAUCGGAGUAGUCCAAGGGGAUGGUGGUCUCCGAAACAAAGAGAGAUGUUGCUCCAAUGGGAUAGUUAUCCAGGAGGGAUAAGUCCCGGCUCUCCAGAGGGAGAAUCAUGUGAGACAGACCUCACAUGUUGAGGAGUACCUCAACAAACAACGACUCCACGAAGCUCAAUGGACUGAGCAAGCGACGAGGAGUCGUCGUAUGAUCUCGCUUGAGAGAAUGCAUUGGGGGAUACAUUGCGAGAUCAAGUGGGGGAGCGACCCAAAGCAACUUAAAUGAAGGCACACUUGGAGUCGAUAUGGAGAUCAGACUCAAGGGAGGGCUGACCCGUGGAAUGGUGGGCGCGAGGGCCACCAUCGACUCAAUGUGAAAACGAGGAGCGGAGCAACUUGGGUGUAACUUGGCGAAGUACUCAAGCCGCAUGAAGGGAGCCAGCAUAGAAGUUGGAACGUGGAGCAGAGGCACAGUGCUUUCCUUAGACAGAGGUCAAGGACAUGAACUCUUGCAGAGGCAAGAGUAGGAUCAUGUUGUUCCAUGGGUCCUUCAUUCUGAUGGAGCGGACUCAUCUUGCAUGGUGCCAAAGACGAAGGGAGCUUCGGGGCACAUGCACCUUAUCUCGGAGAAGCAUUUGAUGGAGGAACUAAGGCGACUCAAUUUGCGGAGGCGAAGUUGGGUUCAGAAGGCCUUAGCACGGGGCAAGAGGACGCAGAGGCGGGUACUCUUGAAGAAUAUGCCACAGUGUUGCCAUUCGAGUUGCUAUGAAGGAACCGAUGCGCAGCGGAGAUUGUGCUGGUAGGGGUAGAGGCCCAGGAUCCAGACAAUGGUGCACAAAUUACAGUGAAGUCAGUGGACUUCGGGAGCUACUAGGCGACGGACUGUCCUAGAGCGGUGCUUCAUCUAGGUGUGACCCAAGAGUGGGUGGAUGAAGGUCGAUUACCAAAAGGAGCGAACAAAAUCGAAGGUGGAAGAGACCCUGCGAUGUAUUGGCAGAGGCCACACAUCGAGGGUUCACAAUUCGAGUUUAUUCCACAAGGAUCAGAAUGCAAUGGAGAUGUCACUAGGAGGCGACAUGGUGCAGCGGAUCGUGGUGGAAUAGUUCGAUGGCAAUGUGAUACACACGACCUAGUCCCGCGAGGGACUAGAUCAUACGGAGGUAUGAUCGGGAGCUACUGGAAGCUCCACUUCGGUGAACAACACGACGGCAAGAAGGGCUAUGAAUUCAAGGAGUGAAGGCCAUGGUACCGCAGAGGCGGGUCUUCCGUGCGUGCAUCGAAUUUUGCAUCGGAUGAAAACUUUGGUCAUCAGCAUAUGGGGGCUGGGUUCCACCAAGGGAAAAGUUCGGAUGCAAGUACCAGUGAGUUCCAUGGGAGGGACUUGAUCAUGCAGAGGUAUGAUCGAAGUAGCUGGAGAGUUGGAUUGCUCCAGAGCUCAUAUUCGCUUAAGGGAGCCUGGCAAGUCAGAGGACAAGGUCGAGUAAACGAACGUUGCUACCAAGGAAGCUAAGGAGAACAGAAUCGGUGCAAACCCUACAACGUGAUGGCAGAGGCCAUGCAUGGGAGUUGCAGUCUGUCUUUCCAUCGACCAAACGGACUGCUUGGAGAACACAGAGGUGUUGAAGCAGGGGGUCGAAAGGGGCGAGGAAGCGACGACGAGUCCAGAGGGACUUAGCUACCCAAAAUCAAGCAUCAGUUAGAAUGGAGGUGGACUCAGAGGAGUGCCACGGAGACAUAUCUACUGAUCAUGAAGAAAAGUGAUACAGAUGCGAGGCGACGGAUAGUAGGGCCAUGGGCAUGGCAGCGCCAUGGUACCGCAGAGGCGGGACUUCUGUGAAAGUCAUUGAUCCCUGGCUCUAAUGAGGGAGAGCGCUUGGUCGUGAAAGGGGCCGAGGAGGUAGAGCAUGUAGAGGCAAUCUCCAAGUACCGAGACAAGGCCGAAGGGCAGAGGCCGAGGAACUUCGUAAGACCGGUGUCAAUGAGCUUCUCAUCAAGUUAGCCGAAAGUGAAGGACUUCGGGUCAUGCAAGAGUGCAUAACCAAGGAACGAAGCAGGCAGUACGCGGUGCUGUACCUUUGCUACUCAGUGGAGUAGGCGGCAGGGUUGAUGGAGAAGACGGUACAAUCCCAGAGGCGACCAAACCUAUAAGCGAAUUACUCCAAGUUGGGGUGAAAACUUCCUGCAUUCCAGAAGUUCGAUGGCAUUGAGAAGGUGAAUCACAGUAACUAACUCAACGCAAGGAGUGCAAACACUUCAAGUGCUUCAGAAGUGUGAGCAAAGAGCAGGCGAAGGCCAGUAACCAGCUGGAUGCAUGGAGUACAACCUCGAGGAGGCGGGCGAAGUCAAGUAACUUUUGCCUUCUCAACUCUUAAGAGAAUGGGCGAAACCGAGUACCCCAAUUCUCUUAUCUAUCCAGCAGAGGAGCUCUGCAAGUUCAAAGACCCUUCGAAGAUAAUGGAAGACAAUAGUUGUCAAAUCCUCACCAACGGUGAUCAGUGCUACUGAGAGUAGAUUGUCCGCUUCAUUUCCCAACGAAAUGCCAAUCGAAAGAGGAAGUGAUGCGAACCUACUUGGAUGUGACAACUAAGUGAAAGAAGAGUCAAUGAGCAAAUUUUGUGGAGGAAGGACCCAAAACUUCAGAAGUUCGCGAGACGAUGCUCGUUAAAGCUCCAACAAGCAUCUAACCAAUUCAAGUAGCAUGAGAAAUUCGAGAGACUAGCGCAGUAAGGAUGGUCUUUUCCUUCAUCUGGGGGAUCCGCAGGAAUCAACAAGGAUCAACACAACUCAACCAACCCCACACCAGAGUUAGAGUCAUUGGUGAGUUGAAGCAGCAUGGCGGAUCAAAGGUUCGACUACUCAAAAACAGCAGCGGAGAGCAGCUAGGAGCCAAGAGGCGCAUUGUAGCUGGAGCAGAAGAUUGAAGACUCAACAAAGACGAGGAGUUGUAGUGUCGACAAAGGCUUCAACGAGGACGUCGAAGGUAUAAGUGGGGGAGAAUGUCACAGACAAACUUCGAAACAGGAUGUUUGAUGUAAUGCUUAUGUAUGUUCGUGUCUUUUGGCAUGUUCAUGCCUUGUACAGCAUGUAGAGGGGCGGCCGAAGGCAUAAUAGUCCCAUUUUAGUUGGGUUGGUGGUCACUUUAGGCUUGUAAAUAAAGGUUGUGUCAUGUGGACACGUGCGAGAGAUUUUCGGUCUGUAAUGGACCAUUUUACCCCUUUGUUGUGCCACUGUUCAGAGCUUGUAAAGUCUGUUUGUAAUUUGCAUUGUCUAUGAAGUGUUUUUCGGAGAUGUUUGCUUGUGAAUCCCGAUUGAGGCGUUCUCUCUUUUGUUGGUCCUAAGGGACAAUGGGAGGCUUCGGGGAGGCUGACCUUUGCGGACGGACACGCAAGGGUGUCGCACGACUUAGGCAAAACCAGCUAAGUCCGUGACAGUACGCCUCCUUUAUAUAUAUAUAUAUGUGUGUAUAUAUAUAUAUAUAUGUGUAUAUAUAUAUAUAUAUGUGUAUAUAUAUGCCUUGGCAUGUUGCUUGGUAUUCCUGUAUCAUACCAUACCAAGCAAAGCUCGAUACAUUAGUACGGUACGAAAUUUCAAUCCUUAGUUUUAAUCACUAUCACAAGCAUGUCUUCUAUGUGUUGUCAAAUGACUAACAGUACAAUUGUAUGUUCCAUUACAUGAUUAAAAUCAUUUGCAACUGAUAUAAAAUAUUUUCAGCAAGAUACCCCUAGUCCUUUUUCUAUGACCAGUAAUACAACACAGAAACUCUUUUCCCCCGUAAUCAACACUAGCAGAUUGCUAGUGACUGGGGAUAAAAUAAGCAAUAUAUAUCUUUGAUUAGAUAAAUAGCUCAGUUCGUAUAUGAUUUAUCAAGUCUCUUUUCUUAUUGCACUUGGUCUUGUUUCUAUUUACUAGGGGCUCUCUAGAUAAACUACUGUGGUAUUUGUGGACCGAUCAUAUAUUGGAAAAAUAGAAGUUUUCUGUUGAUCAAAUUAUUGCACCUGAUAGAUCCUGUCAAAUAUAUGCAUAGGGAGAUCAUGGGGAGUGUAAUUUGUGAGGAUGUUGGGUUUUGUUUCUCUUCGCUAUUUUUGUUUGAAAUAUUGGAAGUUACUCAGAUUUGACUCUGUUUCAUGCUUCUUUGUAAUCUGUGUAUGGUUUUGUAAAUUUGUGGUUGCUGAAGCUCUAUGCAGAGAGAUGAGGGGUUUGGAGUUAAACCCUAGGAUUAUAUCCAGUUUGUAGGUAGUUUCCAUUAAUCCUAAUUUCUCAGUUUGGUAGUGGCUUUGAAUCAGGUUUGAGCUCAUGUAAGAUGAUCACUGUGCCUUGAAAUGCUUGGAAAUCAUGUGAGCUCAUGCUGUGGAAUGUCGAGUGCAGGAGAUGAUGGGACAUGCUUCCGCUGAUGGCAAGGAAUUGCUGAUGAGCUUAUCAGGCCUCGGAGCUCAAAGUUCAUUGUCGCAGGUAGUGGUUGAGUGGAGGAUCUCAACAAUGUCUGGUGAUAUGCAUCCAGGGAACUUUCCUGAGAGCAAUCUUUUCUUUUGAUUCAGUGAGUGCUGAUGAAGUUGUCAUUCUCCCAAUUUUUGCUGAUGAUUCGCCUUUUAUUCCAGGUACCAGAUCAUUCAAUUUAGGAGUGGGUGCAAAGCCACUCGAGCAGACAAACAUUUGAGGAGAAAUGAGAUCGACUUCUGCUUGAUCAUAUCACAAUUAUCCGAGAACAAAUCUUCUUGAGGAGAAAUGAGAUUGACUUCUGCUUGAUCAUAUCACAAUUAUCUGAGAACAAGUGUUUCACCCUGCUUAAGAUGAUCUUCAUAUUCAGUGACAAUUCAGCCUUUUCCCACUUAGUCUGAAUCAUCCAAGCCAGAAGGGUGAUUAAGGAAUCCGAUGUCGUGUUUAGUCCUCGAUGCCAAUAACUUAAAUAGCUCCUGCAGCUUGAUCACCUCUUCAGGUGUGAAGCCCAUCAGAUUUUGCAAGGAACAAAUGUUCUUUGAUGAAUCACUACUCUGUUCACCUUCCUUCGGUUCGUCGUUACUGUUUGUCCCGAUUGCAAGUAAUAUUUGAAGUGAGUCACUGAUUUCUUUGUGAAGUUUAGGAGAACUGGUAUCUGAAGGAGGACAAAAGAAUAAAUAAAUAAUCGACACAUAUUAAUUAGAUUAGAAACAAAAAGGAGAGGAAAAAAGGGUUUGGACUGUGUCAAGUUAUCAAACGAUUCACACUAUAAAUUAGUAGAGUCUAUACAAGUCCAUGGUCCUUUGAAAUGUGAGUUUCAUCUAGUUCUAUGAUUUGCAUUCCAUGGCUGGGAGGACUACAAUUGCAUUUCAUAUUCAUUGUACCUUGGAAGUUUCCAUGUGAGUUAUGUCUGGUUCUAUGAUUUGCAUUCCAUGGC
This is a long non-coding RNA of Musa acuminata AAA Group (dessert banana), 5949 nucleotides long. RefSeq lists it as uncharacterized. The record is from RefSeq and is a predicted model, not a curated record. NCBI's taxonomy places the organism in Eukaryota, Viridiplantae, Streptophyta, Magnoliopsida, Zingiberales, Musaceae. The transcript has 3 exons.